GGCUGGGCUAUGCAUGGUACCACGUGCUUUUAAUCCCAGCACUUAGGAGGCAGAGGCAGGUGGAUCUCUGAGUUCAAGUCCAGCCUGGUCUACAGAGUGAGCUCCAGGGCAGCAGAGCAACAUAGGGAGACCUUGCUUCUGACUGACGUUCUGUAGGAACGGGACCAAGGGAGCCCCUCUGGGCCAGGAAGAUAAAAGAUGUCAUGAAUGUCCUAGGAACUCAGCUAUUGAUACACAGUUCAGAUGGACUAGCAGUGCUGUCCCAGUAAAGCACUGGGAUAAGAGGGAAGGAGAGGAGAGAGGAACCACCUGGGUUAGCAGUGAUGCUUGGCCAAGUCAUUCCAGGACCCCACUUUUGGCAGCCAUUUCAAGUUCUACUUAGGAGGCCUAAACUUGGUGUUAGGCAUUGUAUCCAACCCAUCCCUGUAAAAAUUCCCACCACCACCUUCAACCAAAAGCAUGGUCACAGGACCUUCUGAUAUAAAUGAUCCCUUUUAUUGUUAAGUAAUGCACUGGCCUGGCUUUGCACUGCAAGCCCUCAGUCACGAUAUAGUCAAUAACUAUGCCUGCAGGUUCUUCUGCACAAUCCACAAUUCAGACGCACACAGAGCUGGGUGAGUGGGAGGGGCAGGAGGGUGGCGGGCGGCAUGCACCUGACCCAGGCCUGGCCCUUCCAUAUGGGGUUGGCAAAGGCAGAUAAACCCCAUGGAAUGAAGAACAAAUGGUGGCACAGAAUCUUUGCACAGCAAGCCAAGGGCUGCUAGGAAACUGUCCUUCAUAACCUUUGGGUCCAGGCCAUCCUGGAGGCCCACAAUUCUCUUUUAAAUUUGUUAAUAAGAGAAAAUAAAUUAAUAGCUUUGGUCCUGAGGAUGCUGAACCAGCAUGUCCACAGUUUUUGGCACAAAAAAAAAGGGUCUUUUUUUUUUUCCUUUGGAGUGCAGGAUUUGUUGACUUACUUUUAAGUUCACUUUAGAAACAUUCCCUAUGAGGUAAUAAGCUCCCCCAAGGGGAGGAAUGGGGGAGGAGCUCUGUGAGAGCCUGAACCUGUGACAAGCAGAGUUGUCUCAUCUAACAUCUUGUCAGCCCACCAAGCUCUAUUUCCUCUAGGUUUGGGGGUGUGGAUAGGGAUAGGCUAAGGGGUGCUACAUAGCCAGCAGGAUGGGGUCAUGGAGAGGCCGAGCUGCCUUUUGGCAGCUUUGGUCUAGAAGAGGGGGCCAGUCCCUACUUUGGGCAAAGGCUGAGGUGGAAGCAGGACUUUGCUCACUGGCUUCAGAGCAGUUAGAGAGUGGCCUAACAGACCCCCAAGGGAAAGGAAAUAAAACAAAGGGGCCCAGGCCCAAUUGGCACCGUGCAACACACAUAUCUGCAAAACCAGCUGCUUUCAAUUUCUGUUCUCUCUUCAGGAGUCCAUCACCGGUAACAGUCUAGAAUUGAUAUAUAUAAAAACCAUCAAAUAUGGAUC
Molecule: long non-coding RNA, 1462 nt
Filed under: Rattus norvegicus (Norway rat)
Lineage: Eukaryota; Metazoa; Chordata; Mammalia; Rodentia; Muridae
Description: long non-coding RNA NONRATT006156
Source: RNAcentral